Long non-coding RNA from Oncorhynchus gorbuscha (pink salmon), 1995 nucleotides. RefSeq lists it as uncharacterized. The transcript has 3 exons. The record is from RefSeq and is a predicted model, not a curated record. Lineage: Eukaryota; Metazoa; Chordata; Actinopteri; Salmoniformes; Salmonidae.
AAGAGGAAGAGACAGAAUAUCAGAUUAACACCAGAGAAAGACAUCACUAUGGUGGAUCCUCUGGGAAGAAGCCUCAACAACAUCCUGAUGCUGACGAGGAAGAGAAGAGUCUCUCCAGAUCAGAACACAAGAUGGACAACGCUAGCCCUUCCUCCCUCCCGGAGUCCCUGUAUCGUGCCUCUCCUGGUAGCACCUUACUGCUGGGUAUGAAGAGGUUGUCUGUGCUGCUGGUGGACUGCAGGAAAACAACGGGGCUGAGUGGAACCGUGAGAGGAGGAGAAGAGAAGAAAGGAUCAGAUUUGACACAUCAAAGUAAGUGCUGUAAUUUAGUUUGAACAAAUUAAAUAGAUCUGGUAUCUGUUACCAGGACAACCAGCAGAGUUCUGUUAAUUGACAUGAAGAUGGACUGGUAUCUGUUACCAGGACAACCAGCAGAGUUCUGUUAGUUGACAGGAAGAUAGACUGGUGUAUAUGGAUGUUAUGAAUAUCAUAACACUGAAAAAGGAUUCUGCCAAUGAAAAGAGAGAAACCAAUAGACCAUAUAAAACCUUGAUGAAAGUUAGCUUUGGAGAGAAAGUUUCAAGAUGAUCCAAUGUAAGGUGCUUUUUUUACAAAAACUUUUCCUUAAAACAUUAUGGAUGUUACAUUGCCUGUCCCAGUCAACGCCCCUAUCUUUACAAGACUGUAGAACAGGCAAACUAAACUCAAGACUUUGGUAAUUAAUUAACUAGUACUGAAGAAAAGCUGUGAUCAGGCUGCCCACUCAAACGAAAGCUUCAAACUGUAACCAGUGCUGGCGACCUGGUUCAGGUUAUCAAUCAACCUACCAGGGUAGUGACAAACAGUAGAGGAAUGAAAUCAUCAACAUGGUUUGAUCAUAUCUUUACUAAUGCUGCAGAAAUGGGUUUUAAAGCAGUAUCCAGAUCCAUCAGAUGUAGUGAUCACAAUAUAGUAGCCAUGUCUAGGAAAACCACCGUUCCAAAGGCUGGGACUAAUAUUGUGUAUAAGAGGUCAUACAAUUUUAUGUAGUGAUUCCUAUGUUGUUGAUGUAAAUAAUAUUUGUUGGUCUGUGGUGUGUAAUGAUGAGCAACCAGACGCUGCCCUUGACACAUUUGAAGCUGCUUAUCCCAGUUACUAAUAAGCAGCACCCAUUAAGAAAAUGACUGUAAAAACUGUUAAAUACACGUGGAUUGAUGAGGAAUUAAAAAAUGGUAUUAUGAAGAGGGAGGCAAAAGAGAUGGCAAAUAGGUCUGGCUGAAUAACUGAUUGGCAAAUGUAUUGCAAAUUGAGACAUCAUUUGACUAAACUGAAUAAAAAGAAGAAACUACACAAUGAACCAAAGAUAAAUGACAUGAAGAAUGAAACUUAUUGCUCAAUGAAAGUCUAUAUCUAACAGAAGUGGGUGAAACGAACUUACCACCCUAACAACCAAACAAUGAACAGGUGAAAACAAUUAGACAAAACCAAACGAAAAAGGAUCGGUGGCAGCUAGUAGACCGGCGACGACAACCGCCGAGCGGCACCCGAACGGGGAGGGGAGCCACCUUCGGUAAUAUUCGUGACACCUAUUGCAAAUUGAGAAAUAAUGUGACUAAACUCAAUAUAAAGAAUAAACUACACUAUGAAACAAAGAUAAAUGACAUGAAGAAGGAUAGUAAAAAUCUUUGGAGCAUCUUCAAUGAAAUUUUGCGCAAAUAAAAUCAACAAUGACAAGUCACUGGUGUCUGACAACGUGGAUGGAAAAUUGAGGAUAAUAGCAGCCGAUAUUGCCAUUCCUAUUUGCCUUGUCUUUAAUUUAAGCCUACUAGAAAGUGUGUGCCCUCAGGCCUGGAGGGAAGCUAAAGUCAUUCCACUACCCAAGAAUAGUAAAGCUCCCUUUACUGGCUUAAAUAGCCGACCAAUCAGCCUUAAAUAGCCGACCAAUCAGCCUGUUACCAACCAUUACAAUUUUGGAAAAAAUAUAUUUGACCUGAUACAAAGUAAACAAAUAUAGAC